This 261-nucleotide ribosomal RNA is filed under the name uncultured archaeon. RNAcentral's name for it is "partial 16S ribosomal RNA". It matches the Rfam family "Archaeal small subunit ribosomal RNA", at positions 748 to 1009 of the family's 1478-position model. The record is from RNAcentral.
CAGCCGUAAACUAUGCUCGCUAGGUGUCAGGCAUGGCGCGACCGUGUCUGGUGCCGCAGGGAAGCCGUGAAGCGAGCCACCUGGGAAGUACGGCCGCAAGGCUGAAACUUAAAGGAAUUUGCGGGGGAGCACCACAACAGGUGGAGCCUGCGGUUUAAUUGGACUCAACGCCGGGAAGCUCACCGGGAACGACAGCAAUAUGUGGGCCAGGCUGAAGACCUUGCCUGAAUCGCUGAGAGGAGGUGCAUGGCGUAGACGUCU